UGGUCGGAGGCAGCAGAUCGAGGAGCCAUCAUGGCAGCAGCGUUCCGCAGAGGCUGCAGGGUCCUGAGAAGUGUUUCUCAUUUUGAGUGUCGAACACAACACAGGAAAGCGGCUCUGAAGCAGGAGCCCGGAUUAGGGUUUAGUUUUGAGUUGACCGAACAGCAGAAAGAGUUUCAAGCAACUGCCCGGAAGUUUGCCAGAGAGGAGAUUAUCCCUGUCGCCCCGGAAUAUGACAAAAGCGGGGAGAACCCAUUCCCUCUCAUCAAAAGAGCCUGGGAACUUGGCUUGAUCAAAGCACACAUUCCAGAAAGUUGCGGUGGUCUUGGUCUGGGAAUGUCCGAUGCUUGUUUAAUUACCGAAGAGUUGGCGUAUGGGUGUACAGGGGUGCCAACUGCUAUUGAAGCAAACUCUUUGGGACAAAUGCCUGUGAUUCUUGCUGGAAAUGAUCAACAAAAAAAGAAUUAUUUGGGGAGGAUGACGGAGCAGCCGAUGAUGUGUGCCUACUGUGUGACAGAGCCCUCCAUGGGCUCUGAUGUGGCGGGCAUUAAGACCAAAGCCGAGAAGGGUGAUGAAUAUGCUAUCAAUGGCCAGAAGAUGUGGAUAACCAACGAGGGGGUGGGGGAGGCCAACUGGUAUUUCUUGUUGGCGCGUUCUAACCCAGAUCCUAAAGUACCCGCUAGUAAAGCCUUUACCGGAUUCAUUGUAGAAGCCGACACCCUGGGAAUACAUAUUGGAAAAAAGGAACUAAAUAUGGGCCAGCGAUGCUCUGACACCAGAGGAAUUGCAUUCGAAGAUGUCAGAGUGCCUAAGGAAAAUGUGUUAAUCGGUGAAGGAGCGGGUUUCAAGACCGCAAUGGGUGCUUUUGACAGAGCCAGACCUACAGUCGCAGCUGGCACUGUCAGGCUAGCCCAGAGAGCUCUGGACAAAGCCAAAAAGUAUGCCCUGGAAGACAUUUGGAAAGCUGCUGGUGGAGCACCAAGGAGUUUCAUUUUUGCUCGCAGAAAUGGCGAUGAAAGUUGAACUCGCUAAGCUCAGUUACCAGAGAGCAGCAGCCUGGGAGGUUGACUCUGGCCACCGGAACACUUACUAUGCCUCGAUUGCAAAGGCCUUUGCUGGAGAUAUUGCCAAUCAGCUAGCUACUGAUGCUGUGCAGAUUUUCGGGGGCUAUGGAUUCAACACAGAGUACCCCGUGGAGAAGCUGAUGAGAGACGCCAAGAUCUAUCAGAUUUAUGAAGGUACUACACAAAUUCAGAGGCUUAUUAUAGUUCGUGAGCACAUUGAAAAGUAUAAAAAUUAA
This is a non-coding RNA of Mus caroli (Ryukyu mouse), 1297 nucleotides long. Lineage: Eukaryota; Metazoa; Chordata; Mammalia; Rodentia; Muridae. The record is from RefSeq and is a predicted model, not a curated record.